Molecule: ribosomal RNA, 505 nt
Filed under: uncultured bacterium
Lineage: Bacteria
Description: bacterial SSU rRNA
Rfam family: Bacterial small subunit ribosomal RNA
Source: RNAcentral
AAUCAACGCUGGCGGCGUGCCUCAGACAUGCAAGUCGAACGCGAAAGUCCCCUUCGGGGGACAAGUAGAGUGGCGCACGGGUGAGUAACACGUAGGUAAUCUACCUUCGGGUGGGGAAUAACGCAGGGAAACUUGCGCUAAUACCGCAUAAUGCAGCGGCACCACAUGGUGACAGUUGUUAAAGCGGGGGAUUUUCGGACCUCGCGCCUGAAGAGGAGCCUGCGGCAGAUUAGCUAGUUGGUAAGGUAACGGCUUACCAAGGCGACGAUCUGUAGCCGGCCUGAGAGGGCGGUCGGCCACACUGACACUGACAUACGGGUCAGACUCCUACGGGAGGCAGCAGUCGGGAAUUUUGGGCAAUGGGCGAAAGCCUGACCCAGCAACGCCGCGUGAAGGAUGAAAUCCCUCGGGAUGUAAACUUCGCAAGAAUAGGAAGAAUGAACGAGCGCUAACACCGUUCGUGAUGACGGUACUAUUUGUAAGCUCCGGCUAACUCCGUGCCAGC